RNAcentral lists this ribosomal RNA (832 nucleotides) under uncultured archaeon. RNAcentral describes it as "bacterial SSU rRNA". It matches the Rfam family "Archaeal small subunit ribosomal RNA", at positions 4 to 843 of the family's 1478-position model. The record is from RNAcentral.
UCGGUUGAUCCUGCCGGAGGUCACUGCUAUCGGGGUUCGAUUUAGCCAUGCGAGUUGAGAGGGUUCAGACCCUCGGCGGACUGCUCAGUAACACGUGGAUAACCUGCCCUAAGGUGGAGAAUAACCCCGGGAAACUGGGGAUAAUACUCCAUAGAAUACAGAAACUGGAAUGUUCUGUAUCCAAAAGCUCCGGCGCCUUAGGAUGGAUCUGCGGCCGAUUAGGUUGUUGUUGGGGUAACGGCCCAACAAGCCCGUAAUCGGUACGGGUUGUGGGAGCAAGAGCCCGGAGAUGGACUCUGAGACACGAGUCCAGGCCCUACGGGGCGCAGCAGGCGCGAAAACUUUACAAUGCAGGAAACUGUGAUAAGGGAACCCCGAGUGCCCGUAAACGCGGGCUGUUUAGGUGUCUAAAAAGCACUUCGAGAAAGGGCCGGGUAAGACCGGUGCCAGCCGCCGCGGUAAUACCGGCGGCUCGAGUGGUGACCACUUUUAUUGGGCUUAAAGCGUUCGUAGCUGGAUUGUUAAGUCCCUUGGGAAAUCUAACGGCUUAACCGUUAGGCGUCUAAGAGAUACUGGCAAUCUAGGGACCGGAAGAGGUGAGAGGUACUCCAGGGGUAGGAGUGAAAUCCUGUAAUCCCUGGGGGACCACCUGUGGCGAAGGCGUCUCACCAGGACGGCUCCGACAGUGAGGGACGAAAGCUGGGGGAGCAAACCGGAUUANAUACCCGGGUAGUCCCAGCCGUAAACGAUGCGCGUUAGGUGUAUCGGUGACCGCGAGUUACCGAGGUGCCGAAGGGAAACCGUGAAACGUGCCGCCNGGGAAGUACGGUCG